CCCUUAGAUGUUCUGGGCCGCACGCGCGCUACACUGAUGCAUUCAACGAGUUUCUUCCUGGUCCGAGAGGAAUGGGUAACCUUUUGAAAGUGCAUCGUGAUAGGGAUAGACUAUUGCAAUUAUUGGUCUUCAACGAGGAAUUCCUAGUAGACGUAGUUCAUCAGACUGCAUCGAUUACGUCCCUGCCCUUUGUACACACCGCCCGUCGCUCCUACCGAUUGAAUGCUCAGGUGAGCCAUUCGGACCUUCAUCAUGCCGGUUUCCGGUUUUGAUGAGGGAAAGGCUUGCGAACCUUAUCAUUUAGAGGAAGGAGAAGUCGUAACA
This 324-nucleotide ribosomal RNA is filed under the name uncultured eukaryote. RNAcentral describes it as "partial 18S ribosomal RNA". It matches the Rfam family "Eukaryotic small subunit ribosomal RNA", at positions 1470 to 1796 of the family's 1831-position model. The record is from RNAcentral.